CCUACGGGUGGCAGCAGUGGGGAAUAUUGCGCAAUGGGCGAAAGCCUGACGCAGCGACGCCGCGUGAGGGAUGAAGGUCUUCGGAUCGUAAACCUCUGUCAGCAGGGAAGAACGGUCACGGUGCUAAUCAGCAGUGAAUGGACGGUACCUGCAAAGGAAGCACCGGCUAACUCCGUGCCAGCAGCCGCGGUAAUACGGAGGGUGCGAGCGUUCAUCGGAAUUACUGGGCGUAAAGCGCUCGUAGGCGGUAUGUCAAGUCAAGGGUGAAAUCCCCGCGCUCAACGUGGGAACUGCCUUUGAAACUGGCAAACUGGAGUGUGUGAGAGGCUAGUGGACUUCCCGGUGUAGGCGU
Molecule: ribosomal RNA, 352 nt
Filed under: uncultured bacterium
Lineage: Bacteria
Description: partial 16S ribosomal RNA
Rfam family: Bacterial small subunit ribosomal RNA
Source: RNAcentral